This 71-nucleotide transfer RNA is filed under the name Loxodonta africana (African savanna elephant). It matches the Rfam family "tRNA". Rfam says of the family: Transfer RNA (tRNA) molecules are approximately 80 nucleotides in length. Their secondary structure includes four short double-helical elements and three loops (D, anti-codon, and T loops). Lineage: Eukaryota; Metazoa; Chordata; Mammalia; Proboscidea; Elephantidae. The record is from Rfam by way of RNAcentral.
GCAUUGGUAUUUCAGUGGUAGAAUUCUCACCUUCCGUGUGGGAGACCUGGGUUCCAUUCCCAGCCAAUGCU